AGAGGACUGUGGUUUAGCUGUGGAGCACCUGUUUUGCAUGCAGAAGUCCCAGGUUCAACACCUGGCAUCUCCA
Podarcis lilfordi (Lilford's wall lizard) is the source of this 73-nucleotide non-coding RNA. NCBI's taxonomy places the organism in Eukaryota, Metazoa, Chordata, Lepidosauria, Squamata, Lacertidae. The record is from the annotation of a GenBank genome assembly.